This 578-nucleotide ribosomal RNA is filed under the name Udeniomyces sp. PDD-24b-25. RNAcentral describes it as "eukaryotic LSU rRNA". It matches the Rfam family "Eukaryotic large subunit ribosomal RNA", at positions 64 to 628 of the family's 3401-position model. The record is from RNAcentral. Lineage: Eukaryota; Fungi; Basidiomycota; Tremellomycetes; Cystofilobasidiales; Mrakiaceae.
ACUAACAAGGAUUCCCCUAGUAACGGCGAGUGAAGCGGGAUGAGCUCAAAUUUAAAAUCUGGCUGCCUCAGGCGGUCCGAGUUGUAGUCUAGAGAAGCGUUUUCCGCGUUGGCCUGUGUACAAGUCCCUUGGAAUAGGGCGUCAUAGAGGGUGAGAAUCCCGUCCUUGACACAGAUCCCCAAUGCUUUGUGAUGCGCUCUCAAAGAGUCGAGUUGUUUGGGAAUGCAGCUCAAAAUGGGUGGUAAAUUCCAUCUAAAGCUAAAUAUUGGCGAGAGACCGAUAGCGAACAAGUACCGUGAGGGAAAGAUGAAAAGCACUUUGGAAAGAGAGUUAAACAGUACGUGAAAUUGUUGAAAGGGAAACGAUUGAAGUCAGUCAUGCUUUCUAGGACUCAGCCGGUUCUUCCGGUCUAUUUCCUAGUCAGCAGGCCAGCAUCAGUUUUGAUCGGUGGAAAAUGGUAGAAGGAACGUGGCUUCCUCGGAAGUGUUAUAGCCUUUUAUCGCAUACAUCGAACGGGACUGAGGAACGCAGCGUGCCUUUAUGGUCGGGGUUCGCCCACGAACGCGCUUAGGAUGCUG